Carassius carassius (crucian carp) is the source of this 309-nucleotide long non-coding RNA. RefSeq lists it as uncharacterized. The transcript has 3 exons. The record is from RefSeq and is a predicted model, not a curated record. Lineage: Eukaryota; Metazoa; Chordata; Actinopteri; Cypriniformes; Cyprinidae.
AUCUGAAGAGGCUGUGCCCAUGGACCACUGGAGACUCCGAUGAUGGAGAUGUGCUUCAGCCUCCUCCACUUAAGAAACGAUGUGUGAGAAAAGCCCAGUACCUAAAGAGCACACCUGUAAAGGAUUGUGCACGUCAUCGAUUUCCACAUAAACAGCAAAGCAUCAAUUGAAAGAAGGACCUACACCUUUGUACUUUGCUACUGUUACUGUUCUUUGAUAAUUAAUGAAACAAUAAAAUACUUGGUGUCUCUAAUCUGAAAUACCCGUUUUUUUUUUUAAAGAAUUGAAACAGAAAAAAAGGUCUAAUGU